AAUUUCUUGAAAGCUUGUCUUGAGUUGUAAUUGGUUGGAUUUUUAAGAGUGAGUGAAGGUUGUCGAGUGAUUCUACUGCAGUGGGUUUGGUAUUGAGCAAAGAAUUGCUCUUGAGUGACAAAGAGAUUUGUAACGAGCAAAGGCUUGCUCUAAGAUUGUAAGGGUUUUAAUCUUCACCCAAAGAAGAUUUGAUAGUGGAGUUAAACUCUCAAG
Molecule: long non-coding RNA, 213 nt
Filed under: Manihot esculenta (cassava)
Lineage: Eukaryota; Viridiplantae; Streptophyta; Magnoliopsida; Malpighiales; Euphorbiaceae
Description: long non-coding RNA (MESC_LNC007314)
Source: RNAcentral